CAGGUGUGAUCUACCUGCUUCACCUGUAUUUACCUAACAGGAUUGGAGGGGUGGGGGAACCAGAGCAGCCAGCCAGGGGCCCCAGAGGAGGAGGAAGGGGUGGAGGCAGACCCUCCACCAGCCUCUGCCAGCUGUCUGGCUCCCUGAGACUCAACCGCGGAAGGCGCAGAAAGGCACGGGACAAGAAACUCACGGCUUUUCAUCCCAGCCAGAAGGACGGGGGAAAGCAAGGACAGAGGUUGGAGCAAGUUUUAUUUUUCUGGGGACGGGGGAGGAGAAACUCAUCACAUUCAAUAAACCUCUUUCCUCUCGUCCCCCCCC
Felis catus (domestic cat) is the source of this 321-nucleotide long non-coding RNA. RefSeq lists it as uncharacterized. The record is from RefSeq and is a predicted model, not a curated record. NCBI's taxonomy places the organism in Eukaryota, Metazoa, Chordata, Mammalia, Carnivora, Felidae. The transcript has 2 exons.